UCGGUUUUGAGUUGUUUUUAUUGGGGCUUCUGUUGAAAACUGCUAGCUGCGUUUCCACCGCCCUUCUUCUCCACCUCACCCGGCAAAUUUGAUGCCUCCGACCGGCCGGGGACGAAGCUUCUUUCUGCACCAUCGCUGCUAUCGCGUCCUUCAUCCGACGAGCACCGUCACCCACCUUUUUUUGACUCUGCCGCUGCUUCCAUCCAUCAAUGCGCCGCCGCCCCUACCUCUUCUGGUGAGACGCCGAUCUGCUAGCUCCUCUAGGUGAGCAGCUCGACCUUGUCAAAUCCGACGACCACCAUCGCCCUCCUUCCUUCGACGCGCCGCCGCUUCCAUCUUCGAAUGCGCCGCCGCCUACCCCUUCUGGCGAGACGCCGAUCUGUCGCUCCAAGGUGUUUUCCGUGUUGCACAAUAGACUCAACGAUGCUACAGUGGAGGCGGCCUCCGCACGGCACACAAUUACCAUAACCCAUCCUGAAGAAAGCCAUGUUGCCGCCCAAGAAUACUUGUUGUUACUCGCUUCCGAUUGAAUCAUCAUUCUUGAUAUGGAAAUAAAAUCUCUGGCAUGCAAUUUGGUGAUAGGAUGUUUUCAUCCAUUCCCUGGUAAAUAAGACCAACACAAAUCUAGAAAUAUAUACCCUGGGGAGAAAAUAAAACCAGGACCUUUACAAACAUUAUUUGUACAAAUUUAUGGUGACAUUAUUCAAGCCAUAUGUCAUGAGAAUAUAUUUUUAAAAAAAACUGAGCAUAUAGAGAGAGACAUGCAAAUGCAUCUAUUAAUCUAGCCUGUCUAAUUGUGAGAAUGAUUUAAAAUCCUAUUGAGACUUUGUUCGAGAUAAGCAGGAUGAUGUGAAGCUGAAAACUAUGGAUCAUUUAGUUCAGAAACCUGUAUUUCAGUGUUUCUGUUUGUAGGUAAGUGGUUAGCAUAUCUUUUUCCCCUGAUGCUACUACAUUGUAAGGAAAUCAGGAAUGUUAUUUGGCAACGUUGAUCGCCAGACUUAUGACGAAAAGUAGAGACAGUUGCACAAUGUGUACAGGAACCAAAUUUGGUUACAAAAAUGAUUUAAGAUGCGCUUUGCCUUAUCUAGCAAAAUGAAACAAGGAGAAUUUAUUCUGAAAGUGGAACAUUGGUGGCAUGGACAAUGGGGAGGACAUGGCGCCCGGGUAGGGGAACUAUCAUUGUCUAUUUCCCCUUAUGUCUUUGAUAUUAUUGUCGCUAGCCACUGCUAUGUUUUGCUUGCACGUGUGAACUUAUCACUGCAUAUGCACAUAUGUGAAGAGUCACAAGCCACUGCUACUUAGUACUUACAAAUUUUGACACAUUUUUUCAAUUGCACCUCUUCAUGAGGUCUUCAAAAUAUUGCUUAACUUUGAGUGGUGAUUCCUUCACGAGGUUUUAUAUGAACGUAGGUUUAUGAUAGCAAGUUUGGCUGGCGGUAGGAUUGUCGGUGGCCUGUUAUUGAUGAGUUGGUGUUUUUUGUGUGUAAAUGUGGUGGGGACUACAAGAUCGUUGUGUGUUUGGUGGUGAUCUAAGCAUUUCGAGUGUCGGGCAUGUGGAUUUUUGUACAGCGGUGGGAUUCCAAGUACUUGGUUGCGGCGAGGGAGGUGCGAUUUUGAUGUAGCUAGAACCAUUUUGUAUGUAGCUUCUCGGUGUUUUCGUUGGCAUCAGUGGGAUCAAAUUGUGUAUAACAUGCCUGAGCUUCUUCAACUCUUUGGUGAUUCUGUCGGAUAAUACACUAUUAGAUCCUUACAACUAUUUGUGUUGGAUGUAUCAUGUAUAGUUUCAUCAACCGAAAGUAAACAAUGUAUUUGGAUUGCUACAGCCUAUAGCUAGAUCAAGUAAUGUAUUUUGGAUUCCUACGGGUAGAGCGAAAAAGGUGAGGAAUCUCUCUGCAAAGAGGACAUGCAAUGUUGGUCAACAAACAUUGAUCUGGAGGCAGUAUAUGUCAUAGUAGUUGAUAUGGACCCUAGCCAAAGCUUUUCUUAAUCAUAGUUUCCCACUGUUCUUGAUUAGGAAAAUCAGUUUUAUUUUCAUACUGUCAGCAGACGUACAUGCUGAUUAACCAUUCAGCUUUGGCUUGUUGGUGAAUGCCAUGAAGAUAUAAUCCAUCAGUACAUGUCGGUGAAAUGUCUCCUGGUUUGCAUAGAUGAAUUUCUGGUACCCCUGCGAUGCAUGUGUGCAUUUCUCUCAUGUCUCAUGAGCUCAGUAACAGUCUGGUUAAAUCACACAUGGAUAAGAUGUAUGUGUAGCUGUUGUAUUUUCUUCUAAAGUGCCAUGAUAGGAUUUUUCAGAAUUCAGCUUUCUAGGACAUGUAGCUUUUGUUUCACAAUGGGAGGCUCAUGGAUCAUAAUAUGUGAAAGCUUCUCAUGCUUGGAACUUUUCUACUAUUAUUACUCCCUUAUUCAUCAAAUUAUUCAGAAUGAUGUGUAUCUUGCAUGAUUCGAAUUUGUUGUGUUUGUAAGCAGGCAAUAUGUAAGUUAUAUAAAUAUAUAUUAUUAUGUUCACUUUAAGUCCGGUAAGUCCAACUAAUACUAAAAAUGCACAAAAUACUCCUAUUUUUCUUUACAUUAAUAAAUAUUGGAAAACUAGACAGUUAUCUUGAAAAUUUUAUCUCAGCAUUUUCCUUUGCUGAAUUUAUUAAAGCUGUUUAUUUGGUUUGGUUGUGCAGCUAUGAUCAUUCAGGAUAUGGGACCUCAACAGCAAUAUAAAUUUUCGAAUUCCUGGGUAGUAUUACAAAACUCAAACGUGAUACUCUUGUUUCUUGAAUUUGCACUUAAGUUGCCUGUUGGUAUAUAUUGUCCCUCACAUUCUCACAUAAAACUCUUAGUCGAUCGUGAUGUCUCAUGUUCAUUUCUAUGCAACUAGAUUAGAUAGCCGAGAACAAUUAGCAAGUCGGCUUGUUCAUAUAUGUUGUACAUAGUUGUGUGACUUGUUGACACUUACCCAGGAGACAGUUAGAGUUAGACAGAAUAAGUAUUACAUUACAAAUGUUCAUUUCUAUGCAAUUGGAUUAGAUAGACCAUGACAUUUUUCUCUGCGUGGUACUGGUAUACUGGCUAUCUAAGCUCCUAUUAAAUCUUGUUUCUACAUAGCCCUUGAACAAGAUUAUCAGCUGCAAAGGAGAAUGCGUAGAGCAAGAGGAUGUAGUCCCGUAUGACAGUUAGUUGGAAGCGGACCGAUAUUGGACUUGGCCUCACGUUUAGAAAAAAUAAAAGUGUUCAUCCUUCACAGUGGUAUUCUAUUAGGCAUACAAUUUCUGUAUUCACUGAAAGGACACUUCAGUUAGAUAUAUCUUCAGAUGUCAGCCUGGCUCAUGCUGAUAGUUUUGUUCGAAACAUAUGUUCUUGACGGAUACUUGGUUAUAAAUAUUCGAAUAUAUGAAUUUGGGGAUCUUGGCUUUGUCUCGGGCAACCAUGCUCCGACGCAGCCAGCCGGCCCCCCAAAAAAUAAUCGACGCUGCAAGUAUGCCUGAAAAAAUCUGGGUCCAGUGACAGCCAGAAGAGGCGUGUGCGCGUAGCGAUGGAAGAAACACUGUUCCAGACAGUUAAAGAAGUCACCGGCCAAGAUUCAAUGGAGGGAGACGAUCCGACGGCCGCGGUAACAAAAUCACUGAGAAGGCUCUAUGGGUUACAUCUAAAGUUAAAUACCAUAUGGGAGCAUAUAACAAUAAAAAAUAGCGGUACCUAUUACCUGAAUACUGAGAAUUGAUGUCACCUUUGCAGCAAUUGAAGUGAACAUGGGUUCUUGAAGCAUACUUUUGAGGCUAUUGUCAUUUUCUACAAAGUUCUUACAAAUAGUCCAACAUAGCACAUUGCACUAGAAACUCAAAGCCUGCCAAUUGAGCUCUGGAGUUCAGGACGUCACAACGCUUGACAUCAAUUUGAGCGGAUGUAAUUUUGCUUUGUAUGUUGGUUUAUCUUUGGCUAUUCUUUAUCUUUCAGAUAAUGGAGGGUUAUUGGUAAAUAAUAUAUAAGUAUUAGUUUUUUUCAUGUAACAAUAUUUUUUAAAUUGGAGAAGUUGUAAAGGUACUCAUACAUAUCUUUUUCUUGGCGCUUACCAUAUGUGGUUGAUGAU
This is a long non-coding RNA of Lolium perenne, 4075 nucleotides long. RefSeq lists it as uncharacterized. The record is from RefSeq and is a predicted model, not a curated record. NCBI's taxonomy places the organism in Eukaryota, Viridiplantae, Streptophyta, Magnoliopsida, Poales, Poaceae.